UACGUAGGGGGCAAGCGUUGUCCGGAUUUAUUGGGCGUAAAGAGCUCGUAGGCGGUUCCGUAAGUCGUGAAGUCAAAUCUCUGGGCUCAACCCAGAAUCGCUUCCGAUACUGCGGUGACUGGAGUCCGAUAGGGGAGUGUGGAAUUCCUGGUGUAGCGGUGAAAUGCGCAGAUAUCAGGAGGAACACCAACAGCGAAGGCAGCACUCUGGGCCGGUACUGACGCUGAGGAGCGAAAGCAUGGGGAGCGAACAGG
This 254-nucleotide ribosomal RNA is filed under the name uncultured bacterium. RNAcentral's name for it is "partial 16S ribosomal RNA". It matches the Rfam family "Bacterial small subunit ribosomal RNA", at positions 524 to 776 of the family's 1533-position model. The record is from RNAcentral.